UUUUGGACAAUGGGGGCAACCCUGAUCCAGCAACGCCGCGUGAGUGAAGAAGGCCUUCGGGUUGUAAAGCUCUUUUGUCAGGGAAGAAACAGCAGCUCUAACACAGUCUGCGAAUGACGGUACCCGAAGAAUAAGCACCGGCUAACUACGUGCCAGCAGCCGCGGUAAUACGUAGGGUGCGAGCGUUAAUCGGAAUUACUGGGCGUAAAGCGUGCGCAGGCGGUUAUACAAGACAGGCGUGAAAUCCCCGGGCUUAACCUGGGAAUGGCGCCUAUGACUGUAUAGCUAGAGUGUGUCAGAGGGGGGUAGAAUUCCACGUGUAGCAGUGAAAUGCGUAGAUAUGUGGAGGAAUACCAAUGGCGAAGGCAGCCCCCUGGGAUAACACUGACGCUCAUGCACGAAA
This 403-nucleotide ribosomal RNA is filed under the name uncultured bacterium. RNAcentral describes it as "bacterial SSU rRNA". It matches the Rfam family "Bacterial small subunit ribosomal RNA", at positions 362 to 758 of the family's 1533-position model. The record is from RNAcentral.